GACGUAGGGGGCGAGCGUUGUCCGGAUUUAUUGGGCGUAAAGCGCGCGUAGGCGGCUCGUUUAGUCGGGUGUGAAAACCCGGGGCUCAACCCCGGGCCUGCAUCCGAUACUGGCGGGCUGGAGGCAUGCAGGGGAGAUCGGAAUUCCUGGUGUAGCGGUGAAAUGCGCAGAUAUCAGGAGGAACACCGGUGGCGAAGGCGGAUCUCUGGGCAUGUCCUGACGCUCAGGCGCGAAAGCUAGGGGAGCAAACAGG
This 253-nucleotide ribosomal RNA is filed under the name uncultured bacterium. RNAcentral's name for it is "partial 16S ribosomal RNA". It matches the Rfam family "Bacterial small subunit ribosomal RNA", at positions 524 to 776 of the family's 1533-position model. The record is from RNAcentral.